This 598-nucleotide ribosomal RNA is filed under the name uncultured bacterium. RNAcentral's name for it is "bacterial SSU rRNA". It matches the Rfam family "Bacterial small subunit ribosomal RNA", at positions 9 to 655 of the family's 1533-position model. The record is from RNAcentral.
GAGUUUGAUCCUGGCUCAGAACGAACGCUGGCGGCAGGCCUAACACAUGCAAGUCGAACGAUCCUUCGGGAUAGUGGCAGACGGGUGAGUAACGCGUGGGAACAUACCCAGAGGUUCGGAAUAACACGGAGAAAUUCGUGCUAAUACCGGAUACGUCCUUCGGGAGAAAGAUUUAUCGCCUUUGGAUUGGCCCGCGUUGGAUUAACUUGUUGGUGGGGUAAAAGCCUACCAAGGCGACGAUCCAUAGCUGGUCUGAGAGGAUGAUCAGCCACACUGGGACUGAGACACGGCCCAGACUCCUACGGGAGGCAGCAGUGGGGAAUAUUGCACAAUGGGCGCAAGCCUGAUGCAGCCAUGCCGCGUGAGUGAAGAAGGCCCUAGGGUUGUAAAGCUCUUUCACCGGUGAAGAUAAUGACGGUAACCGGAGAAGAAGCCCCGGCUAACUUCGUGCCAGCAGCCGCGGUAAUACGAAGGGGGCUAGCGUUGUUCGGAAUCACUGGGCGUAAAGCGCGCGUAGGCGGACUGGUCAGUUGGGGGUGAAAUCCCGGGGCUCAACCUCGGAACUGCCUUCAAUACUGCCAGUCUAGAGUCCGGAAGA